AGUGAACGCUGGCGGCAGGCCUAACACAUGCAAGUCGAACGGCAGCACAAGAGAGCUUGCUCUCUGGGUGGCGAGUGGCGGACGGGUGAGGAAUGCAUCGGAAUCUGCCCAUUUGUGGGGGAUAACCUCGGGAAACCGGGACUAAUACCGCAUACGACCUACGGGUGAAAGCAGGGGAUCUUCGGACCUUGCGCAGAUGGAUGAGCCGAUGCCGGAUUAGCUAGUUGGAGGGGUAAAGGCCCACCACGGCGACGAUCCGUAGCUGGUCUGAGAGGAUGAUCAGCCACACUGGGACUGGGACACGGCCCAGACUCCUACGGGAGGCAGCAGUGGGGAAUAUUGCACAAUGGGCGCAAGCCUGAUCCAGCCAUGCCGCGUGUGUGAAGAAGGCCUUCGGGUUGUAAAGCACUUUUGUUGGGAAAGAAAAGCAGCCGGUUAAUACCCGGUUGUCAUGACGGUACCCAAAGAAUAAGCACCGGCUAACUUCGUG
Molecule: ribosomal RNA, 490 nt
Filed under: uncultured bacterium
Lineage: Bacteria
Description: partial 16S ribosomal RNA
Rfam family: Bacterial small subunit ribosomal RNA
Source: RNAcentral